AUUGAACGCUGGCGGCAUGCCUUACACAUGCAAGUCGAACGGCAGCACGGGAGCUUGCUCCUGGUGGCGAGUGGCGAACGGGUGAGUAAAGCGAUCGGAACGUGCCCUGAAGUGGGGAUAACGUAGCGAAAGUUACGCUAAUACUGCAUAUUCUGUGAGCAGGAAAAGCAGGGGAUCUUCGGACCUUGUGCUUUAGGAGCGGCCGAUGUCGGAUUAGCUAGUUGGUGAGGUAAAGGCUCACCAAGGCGACGAUCCGUAGCGGGUCUGAGAGGAUGAUCCGCCACACUGGGACUGAGACACGGCCCAGACUCCUACGGGAGGCAGCAGUGGGGAAUUUUGGACAAUGGGCGCAAGCCUGAUCCAGCCAUGCCGCGUGAGUGAAGAAGGCCUUCGGGUUGUAAAGCUCUUUCGGCGGGGAAGAAAUUGCACUCUCUAAUACAGGGUGUAGAUGACGGUACCCGCAUAAGAAGCACCGGCUAACUACGUG
Molecule: ribosomal RNA, 487 nt
Filed under: uncultured bacterium
Lineage: Bacteria
Description: bacterial SSU rRNA
Rfam family: Bacterial small subunit ribosomal RNA
Source: RNAcentral